UUCUUUUGGUUACAGAUAGCCGUAAAAAAGAAAUAUAUAUCCAUCAAGUUGGUAAAAAUUGGUGAGUUUUCUAAUUCUUGAUUCGAUCGUAAUUUGUGAGUUUUCUAAUUCGUGAUUCGAUAGUAAUUUGCUUUAAACAAAAACUACGGAUUGGUUGAAACAAAAUCACUCCAUUUUAACUAGUAUUUAGUCUGUUGCCGAGAGA
This is a long non-coding RNA of Arabidopsis thaliana (thale cress), 205 nucleotides long. RefSeq annotates it as other RNA. The transcript has a single exon. The record is from RefSeq. NCBI's taxonomy places the organism in Eukaryota, Viridiplantae, Streptophyta, Magnoliopsida, Brassicales, Brassicaceae.